UACGUAGGGGGCUAGCGUUGUCCGGAUUUAUUGGGCGUAAAGAGCGUGUAGGCGGCCAGGUAGGUCUGCUGUGAAAACUCGAGGCUUAACCUCGAGAUGUCGGCGGAAACCAUCUGGCUAGAGUCCGGAAGAGGAGAGUGGAAUUCCUGGUGUAGCGGUGAAAUGCGCAGAUAUCAGAAAGAACACCCGUGGCGAAGGCGGCUCUCUGGGACGGUACUGACGCUGAGACGCGAAAGCGUGGGGAGCGAACAGG
RNAcentral lists this ribosomal RNA (253 nucleotides) under uncultured bacterium. RNAcentral describes it as "partial 16S ribosomal RNA". It matches the Rfam family "Bacterial small subunit ribosomal RNA", at positions 524 to 776 of the family's 1533-position model. The record is from RNAcentral.